GCGUUGGUGGUCCAAGGAAAGACGCCCCACUUCCCGUGGGGAAAUGCAGGUGCAAGGCCUGCCCAGCGC
This 69-nucleotide transfer RNA is filed under the name Streptomyces lividans. Lineage: Bacteria; Bacillati; Actinomycetota; Actinomycetes; Kitasatosporales; Streptomycetaceae. The record is from RNAcentral.